Molecule: long non-coding RNA, 427 nt
Filed under: Manacus vitellinus (golden-collared manakin)
Lineage: Eukaryota; Metazoa; Chordata; Aves; Passeriformes; Pipridae
Description: lncRNA (ENSMVIG00005015556.1)
Source: RNAcentral
CUCAUAGCUACCCAGCAUAGUGUUCUCAAACAUCAGCCAAUUCACAUUAAUAGAACACUUUCAUGUGAUCCAGGGAGAAAGGGGAUCCACACACCAGCCAGGAGUGAAGGAGUGCAGAAGGUUAUAUAAAUCAGGGACAGAGUGGUGCAUUUUCAUUUUCAGUCCAGAGGAAAAUUGGAAUUUCAGAGAUAAAAUGAGCUGGCUGGUCACUAUGCAGAUGUUCAACAAUGUUCUCAAUCUGAAUCUUCCAGUCCUCCUGGGUUAGAUCCUCUUUGGAUCAAGAAAAGACAGUCUCUCCCUGGAUGAGCAUGAAGUGUGGAUGAGGAACCACAGGGGAAAUUCCAGCACACAACAGUAAAGCAGCCUGAUGUGAGUACUUCUUCUCCCACCAGUUCUAUCAUAAAAUAAAAGAGAAUAAAUAGAGACA